Molecule: unclassified non-coding RNA, 148 nt
Organism: Macaca fascicularis (crab-eating macaque)
Lineage: Eukaryota; Metazoa; Chordata; Mammalia; Primates; Cercopithecidae
Rfam family: Metazoan signal recognition particle RNA
About the family: The signal recognition particle (SRP) is a universally conserved ribonucleoprotein. It is involved in the co-translational targeting of proteins to membranes.
Source: Ensembl
GCCGGGCGUGGUGGCACGCGCCUAUAAUCCCAGCUACUUGGGAGGCUGAGGCAGGGGAAUCGCUUGAACCCGGGAGGUGAGGGUUGCAGUGAGCCAAGAUGGUGCUACUGCACUCCAGCCUGGGUGACAGGGUGAGACUCUGUCUCAA